This 464-nucleotide long non-coding RNA is filed under the name Salmo salar (Atlantic salmon). RNAcentral's name for it is "lncRNA (ENSSSAG00000086251.1)". The record is from RNAcentral. Lineage: Eukaryota; Metazoa; Chordata; Actinopteri; Salmoniformes; Salmonidae.
GGCAAACAUGGAGUCCACUGUAACAGGAUGCUCUGGGUAGAAGUUGCUCUUAAGCAGAUCUAGGAUCAGCCUUCCAAUCCCAAAGUUUGACCGUAAUCCCCCCCAAAUCUCAGUCAGUGUAUAGGUUCAACUUCAUCCUACUCCACAGUACUGUAGGUCUCCAUCCUGCUCCACAGUCCUGUAAGUCUCUAUCCUGCUCCACAGUACUGUCGGUCUCCAUCCUGCUCCACAGUCCUGUAAGUCUCUAUCCUGCUUCACCGCCCUGUAGGUCUCCAUCCUGCUCCACAGUCCUGUAGGUCUCCAUCCUGCUCCACAGUACUGUAGGUCGCCAUCCUACGCCACAGUACUGUAGGUCUCCAUCCUGCUCCACAGUACUGUAGGUCGCCAUCCUACGCCACAGUACUGUAGGUCUCCAUCCUGCUCCACAAUACUGUAGGUCGCCAUCCUACGCCACAGUACUGUAG